This 1054-nucleotide long non-coding RNA is filed under the name Cyanistes caeruleus (blue tit). Its description in RNAcentral is "lncRNA (ENSCCEG00000003706.1)". Lineage: Eukaryota; Metazoa; Chordata; Aves; Passeriformes; Paridae. The record is from RNAcentral.
ACCAUCUAUAUGUAUAUAAAUCAUAUUAUAUAUUAUAAAUUAAUAUAUAUGUAUAUAUUUCUAUUACUUAUUUUUACUUAUUUUUAUGCCUACAUAUAUAUAUAUUUCCCUAUCCCUUUAUAUAUUCAUUCUUAACAUAUUUUAUUUAUUUUUAUUUUUCUUAUUUAUUUAAAAACCUUGCCUCUAACUAAAUAAAAACCAAGCAGCCCCUUUAUCUUCAAUAUUUUUUAAUAUUUAUUUUUAUCAUCUUUAUACUUAGAGUUAUACACUCGGUUGAUAAACCCCCCCAGCCCUGCCCACACCUCUCACUGUUCCGGUACACAGAGCAUCCACCUCCUCGGGCCGCUUUGGUUCCAGCGCCGGGGAGCGACCGUUCCGGCCCGAUGCAAUUGGGUUUUCCUCCAUUUCCCUGGGCCGGGGGGGAGAGAGCCGAGCAAGAGGAGCGGCGGCACGCUACAGGUCGGUGCAAGUGCCAUACCCCAAGAAUGCGGCCGUGGCAAGGACCCCUGCAGAGGGAGGCGUCAGCACCGCUGCCUGUCGGCACGCUGGCUGGCCGGUGUCCGGCCCCGGCCCUGCUGAGCGCACAGCCUGUGUCCGCAUAGCUGGAAAAGCCGCGGAAAAUUGCGCCGGAGCGGCGUCAGUGUCGGGGUAUUUGUCAGGCAGUCAAGCGAAGACACCCACCGCCCGGGGUCCUUGCAUUUUCCUGCCUUUUUGGCCGCCAUCCUUGGAAGGUCAAACCAGCCAGGACCUGACAGCCAUCUUGUGCGUGGCAUCACGUGACUUCUGCCCUUCCUGGCUGCCAUCUUUUUUGUGGCUGAAGCCACUUCCGGCCAAGUGGCCAUCUUUGUUGUGGCACCAUGAAGGCCCCUGCCGCUCUCAGCGCGUCUGUCUAACUUACUUGCCUGAACAAAAAAACGCACGAUGCCGACUGAUUCCGCGCACUCCACCCAAUUUUCCACCGCCUUUCCCAGGGCGAGGACAAAGACGGCGGGGCUCAGCGGCUCCAUAGCUGGGCGGCGGACACGCCUGCGACGGCAGGAAUUGGAAUCGACGC